AGCUCUCCGUAGGUGAGUUAUCUACCGACUUCGAAUAAUUGUGAAUUAAUGCUAACGAUUUUCUAGUGAACCUGCGGAGGGAUCAUUACUGAGUGAGGGCCUCUGGCCCGACCUCCAACCCUUUGUAAUUAAAACCAUGUUGCCUCGGGGGUGACCCUUCGAUGGGGCCCCCGACGGACCAUUUUAAACACUGCAUCUAUGCGUCGGAUUAUAAAGUUUAAUAAAUUUAAAACUUCCAACAACGGAUCUCUUGGUUCUGGCACCGAUGAAGAACGCAGCGAAAUGCGAUAAGUAAUGUGAAUUGCAGAAUUCAGUGAAUCAUCGAGUUUUUGAACGCACACUGCGCCCCUUGGUAUUCCGGGGGGCAUGCCCGUUCGAGCGUCAUUUCACCAAUCAAGCCUGGCUUGGUAUUGGGCACCGGGGGCGACCCGGGCCCGAAAGUCGCCGGCUGGAAAGCUCUGAUCUCAGCGUCGUCGUUUUACAAACUCGCUGGCGAGAGGGGCGGUCUGUGCCGUGAAAUCUUUUUAAGGUUGACCUCGGAUCGGGUAGGAAUACCCGCUGAACUUAAGCAUAAAGACGGGGAAGAGAAAUUGUUGGUAAGGGGGAGUUUUAAAGCUGAUGAUCGCUGCCUCGUGGCGUUCGGGACGGAAGGUGUGAGUCUUUGAUAUGUUGCUGUGGCCGAGGAGAUCGACGGGGCAGCCUUUGGGGAAUUGUUGCUUCGAACGGUCUGUGCGUCGGGGAACAGGCAGGGAUGCAGUCAUCGUUCAUUGGUCGGCAGGCCGCUUGACUGCGAAGUGGAGUAUCUUUGCAUUGCUCCGCA
This 820-nucleotide ribosomal RNA is filed under the name uncultured fungus. Its description in RNAcentral is "eukaryotic LSU rRNA". The stretch from base 231 to 384 matches the Rfam family "5.8S ribosomal RNA". The record is from RNAcentral. Lineage: Eukaryota; Fungi.